Taeniopygia guttata (zebra finch) is the source of this 113-nucleotide non-coding RNA. The record is from RefSeq and is a predicted model, not a curated record. Lineage: Eukaryota; Metazoa; Chordata; Aves; Passeriformes; Estrildidae.
AGCGGGUCAUGGAGCAGGCUUCUCGGCGACCCCCCCGGCUCCCAGAAAAGCCGGAGGGUCGCGCAGGUACCGCCUCACCGCUCCGUGCGGGCCCCCCGCCGCCACGUCGAGGG